GAUCCUGGCUCAGGAUGAACGCUGGCGGCGCGCCUAACACAUGCAAGUCGAACGGUUAAAGCACCUUCGGGUGUGUAUAAAGUGGCGAACGGCUGAGUAACACGUGGGCAACCUGCCCCUCGCACCGGGACAGCCUCGGGAAACCGUGGUUAAUACCGGAUACGCCCGCACCGCCGCAUGGCGGGGCGGGAAAGCCCCGACGGCGAGGGAUGGGCCCGCGGCCUGUUAGCUAGUUGGUGGGGUAACGGCCCACCAAGGCCAUUAUGGGUAGCUGGGUUGAGAGACCGACCAGCCAGAUUGGGACUGAGACACGGCCCAGACUCCUACGGGAGGCAGCAGUGGGGAAUCUUGCACAAUGGGCGAAAGCCUGAUGCCAGCGACGCCGCGUGCGGGACGAAGGCCUUCGGGUUGUAAACCGCUUUCAGCAGGGACGAGGCCGCGAGGUGACGGUACCUGCAGAAGAAGCCCCGGCUAACUACGUGCCAGCCGCCGC
RNAcentral lists this ribosomal RNA (493 nucleotides) under uncultured bacterium. RNAcentral describes it as "bacterial SSU rRNA". It matches the Rfam family "Bacterial small subunit ribosomal RNA", at positions 15 to 518 of the family's 1533-position model. The record is from RNAcentral.